UACGUAGGGUGCAAGCGUUUGUCCGGAAUUAUUGGGCGUAAAGAGCUCGUAGGCGGUCUGUUGCGUCGGCUGUGAAAACCCGGGGCUCAACCCCGGGCCUGCAGCCGAUACGGGCAGACUAGAGUUCGGCAGGGGAGACUGGAAUUCCUGGUGUAGCGGUGAAAUGCGCAGAUAUCAGGAGGAACACCGGUAGCGGAAGGCGGUCUCUGGGCAUACCUGACGCUGAGGAGCGAAAGCGGGUGGGAGAACAGG
This 252-nucleotide ribosomal RNA is filed under the name uncultured bacterium. RNAcentral describes it as "partial 16S ribosomal RNA". It matches the Rfam family "Bacterial small subunit ribosomal RNA", at positions 524 to 776 of the family's 1533-position model. The record is from RNAcentral.